Long non-coding RNA from Lutra lutra (Eurasian river otter), 1513 nucleotides. RefSeq lists it as uncharacterized. The transcript has 3 exons. Lineage: Eukaryota; Metazoa; Chordata; Mammalia; Carnivora; Mustelidae. The record is from RefSeq and is a predicted model, not a curated record.
CGAGGCGGCGGGAGGAGGCAGUGCCCGGAGUCCCGCGGCGAGAGCGCCGCCCCUCCGGCCCGGGCGUGGUCAGCGCCGCCCCGCCCGCCCGCCCCGCUGGGUCCCCGCGGCUCCCCGCGCCGGGGCUGGACCACGGUCCACAGGUCAUGUGCUGAGGUCUUAGCCCCCAGUAGCUCGGAAUGUGACUGUGUUUGGAGACAGAGCCUUUAUCGAGAGUCUCUCCUAACUCAGGCAGAAGACCGAUGGGCCAAGCAGCCAGUGACAGAAUGGCAACUACCACCUCAAGCCACCACCCCUUGAGCCGGCAUGUCCCCCGGGUGACUGAACCCAUGACAAUGACCGGCCUGACCUGAACCGCCCACCUGCACGUUCCCACGGAUCUUUGUCCCACCUUUUCCCUCCGUAAACCCGGACGUCUUUCCAGCUCUCUAGGGACAGCCUUUGAGACGUCAGGGCGCCGUCUUCCUGGCGUCGGCCUCGCUGACAUAAACUCCUUUCCUGUGUCACCGCUGCUCUUCUCCUGGCCUCAGGAUCUUGUCGGCAGUGAGUGGCCGCACCCGGUCUGUCUGGGUCCCUGGACUCAGGCGCUCUUGCUCCCCGGCCUGCCCGGCUAUACCUUCAGCUCAAAAGAAUUGAUAUGGCAAAGGGACAUACCGGGGGGGCGGCAUGUUCUGAACUCCUUCAAAACCAGAUCUCGGGCAAGGCAGGAGCACCCCAAGCGUGCAGCCUCCCAGGCAGGAGAAAGGAGACCUCCUGUGGCUUUUCUCCCAUGGGGUGCCAUCCUGUUUCCUGAGAUCCCACUUCUUCUGUGUCAUCAGAAAGACACCUCCCAGGGCUUCUGGGUUCCGCCUCUGACCUCCUACGCCCCUGGCAAACACUAACGCCGUGUCCGCAGCGACACUGGGUCUGGGCUCCGACUGGCCUUCAGCUGCGUGCGGGCAGAGGCUCCUGCAGGCCCAGGGUGCUUCGGGGGUCCCUGAGGCUGGUUCCUCGUUUGCACCUCGGGGCCAGUGCACCCAUGAUUUGGAGCCCCUCCCGCCUGGGGGCUGCUCGGAGCACCCUCUCCCCCUGGGAGGGCCCUGCAGGCCGGGAGAUUGAACGACCGUGAGGGUCUGGGCCAGGGGGACCCUCAGACUGGGUGGGCGCCAGAUGCCCUCUGUCCGGUCCUGCCUCCUGAUUACUCAGAGGACAUUUUAUUCUUCCGGGGGUUUCACCCCUGCCCUGCUGGCCCUACUCUGCUCAUCACCCCUGCCAGUGUCCCCGGGGGGAACAGAGAGGGCCUCUGGGGCCCCCACUGGGAUACUCCCUGGAGCCAGGCUCAGGCUCAGCCCUGGGAACGCCCUGGUGGGGGACCCGCUUGGCCUCCCCUUCUUGGGACCUCUGAUCUUUCUGUUGUUUGGCCUUUGUUUGCCUGCAGUUUCCCAGGAAAUUUGCUUUGGGGGAUUCCAGCUGGCCUCAGCUGAGCCUAGAGGACAGCACUUGUGUCCGUGGGCCUCCCUCUGGUCUGGCAGGC